GCAGGUGAAUGCAACGUCAAGCGAUGGGCGUUGCGCUCCAUAAUUGUCUUAUUUCUUAUGUUUAGAAUUACUGCAUAGCACAUAUUGAUUCAUACCCGCCGGUCCUUCAGACCGGCUUUU
RNAcentral lists this small RNA (120 nucleotides) under Chimaeribacter coloradensis. RNAcentral's name for it is "Fumarate/nitrate reductase regulator sRNA". It matches the Rfam family "Fumarate/nitrate reductase regulator sRNA". The record is from RNAcentral. Lineage: Bacteria; Pseudomonadati; Pseudomonadota; Gammaproteobacteria; Enterobacterales; Yersiniaceae.